Molecule: ribosomal RNA, 937 nt
Filed under: Ophiostoma dryocoetis
Lineage: Eukaryota; Fungi; Ascomycota; Sordariomycetes; Ophiostomatales; Ophiostomataceae
Description: LSU rRNA
Rfam family: Eukaryotic large subunit ribosomal RNA
Source: RNAcentral
GUGACCUCGGAUCAGGUAGGAUUACCCGCUGAACUUAAGCAUAUCAAUAAGCGGAGGAAAAGAAACCAACAGGGAUUGCCCCAGUAACGGCGAGUGAAGCGGCAACAGCUCAGAUUUGGAAUCUGGCCCUCGGGCCCGAGUUGUAAUCUGGAGAGGAUGCUUCUGGCGCGGUGCCUUCCGAGUUCCCUGGAACGGGACGCCGGAGAGGGUGAGAGCCCCGUACGGUUGGACACCUAGCUUCUGUGAAGCUCCUUCGACGAGUCGAGUAGUUUGGGAAUGCUGCUCAAAAUGGGAGGUAAAUUUCUUCUAAAGCUAAAUAUUGGCCAGAGACCGAUAGCGCACAAGUAGAGUGAUCGAAAGAUGAAAAGCACUUUGAAAAGAGGGUUAAAAAGUACGUGAAAUUGUUGAAAGGGAAGCGCCCGUGGCCAGACUUGCGCUGCGCGGACCACCCAGCGUUCUCGCUGGUGCACUCCGCGCGGCGCAGGCCAGCAUCGGUUUUCCUAGGGGGAUAAAGGCUGCGGGAACGUAGCUCCUUCGGGAGUGUUAUAGCCCGUGGCGUCAUACCCCUGGGGGGACCGAGGACCGCGCUUCGGCAAGGAUGCUGGCGUAAUGGCCACCGGCGACCCGUCUUGAAACACGGACCAAGGAGUCAAGCAUUGGGGCGAGUGUCUGGGUGUUAAACCCGCACGCGAAAUGAAAGUGAACGCAGGUGAGAGCUUCGGCGCAUCAUCGACCGAUCCUGAUGUUCUCGGAUGGAUUUGAGUAAGAGCCUUACCGCUUGGACCCGAAAGAUGGUGAACUAUGCCUGUAUAGGGUGAAGCCAGAGGAAACUCUGGUGGAGGCUCGCAGCGGUUCUGACGUGCAAAUCGAUCGUCAAAUAUGGGCAUGGGGGCGAAAGACUAAUCGAACCAUCUAGUAGCUGGUUACCGCCGAAGUU